RNAcentral lists this ribosomal RNA (328 nucleotides) under uncultured Acidovorax sp. Its description in RNAcentral is "bacterial SSU rRNA". It matches the Rfam family "Bacterial small subunit ribosomal RNA", at positions 1053 to 1382 of the family's 1533-position model. Lineage: Bacteria; Pseudomonadati; Pseudomonadota; Betaproteobacteria; Burkholderiales; Comamonadaceae. The record is from RNAcentral.
CGUCAGCUCGUGUCGUGGGAUGUUGGGUUAAGUCCCGCAACGAGCGCAACCCUUGUCAUUAGUUUGCUACAUUCAGUUGGGCACUCUAAUGAGACUGCCGGUGACAAACCGGAGGAAGGUGGGGAUGACGUCAAGUCCUCAUGGCCCUUAUAGGUGGGGCUACACACGUCAUACAAUGGAUGGUACAAAGGGUCGCCAACCCGCGAGGGGGAGCCAAUCCCAUAAAGCCAUUCGUAGUCCGGAUCGCAGUCUGCAACUCGACUGCGUGAAGUCGGAAUCGCUAGUAAUCGUGGAUCAGAAUGUCACGGUGAAUACGUUCCCGGGUCUU